RNAcentral lists this ribosomal RNA (460 nucleotides) under uncultured bacterium. RNAcentral describes it as "partial 16S ribosomal RNA". It matches the Rfam family "Bacterial small subunit ribosomal RNA", at positions 338 to 795 of the family's 1533-position model. The record is from RNAcentral.
CCUACGGGAGGCAGCAGUGAGGAAUAUUGGUCAAUGGACGCGAGCCUGAACCAGCCAAGUAGCGUGAAGGAUGACUGCCCUAUGGGUUGUAAACUUCUUUUAUAAAGGAAUAAAGUGCGGCACGUGUGCUGUUUUGCAUGUACCUUAUGAAUAAGGAUCGGCUAACUCCGUGCCAGCAGCCGCGGUAAUACGGAGGAUCCGAGCGUUAUCCGGAUUUAUUGGGUUUAAAGGGAGCGUAGGCGGGUUGUUAAGUCAGUUGUGAAAGUUUGCGGCUCAACCGUAAAAUUGCAGUUGAUACUGGCAGCCUUGAGUACAGUAGAGGUAGGCGGAAUUCGUGGUGUAGCGGUGAAAUGCUUAGAUAUCACGAAGAACUCCGAUUGCGAAGGCAGCUUGCUAAACUGCAACUGACGUUGAUGCUCGAAAGUGUGGGUAUCAAACAGGAUUAGAUACCCGAGUAGUC